UGGAGAGAAGCACUGCCCCCUCCUCCCACCAGCUCAGGGACCGCUCGGCCUGCUGGCAGCUCACUCUCCCCACCGCCGCCAGAGAGGCAGCCAUUAUGGUUGCAAAGGAAAACAUCUGUAUCGUAGCCUGAAAGCAACAAAUGCAACGGAGUCUGCAGAGAGCCUGAAAGAAUUGCUCAGGCAGCGAUUGUCACUGUUCGUGCCAACGGGUUGUUGUGGAGACUGAAAUCCAACAACGGUGACAGUCCAAUGAAGAAUAGCAUGUCAGAAAGGAGAGAGCUACAUCCCUUGAGAGCCAGUACUGUAUUUUAUUUACUAUAACACUGGUUAUGACAUCCCGGCAGUUGCUGUGACUGUGAUGAAGAUCCUCGAGGUCACGAACUGAAAUCAAGGCCAGAAACCAGAGCUUAAGGAUUGAAAACCGGAGUUGCUGUGGGGAUCCUGAGAGACACCUCCCCCCUACACUGCAGCAACAUGUCUACCGAAUUUAGACUGAUCUGUACCUAAUUCCCCCCACUCCCCUUCUGAGCAACCAGAUGGGAACGGGUGACACCGAACCAGCUCGUUAGAGGCACAUGGCUUCCUGUCAGUAGAAACUGACUCUGUGCAACAAAGAUCAAAGACAGUAAAGCUAUUAAACUAUAAGCUUUUUUGGAAAAUGGACCUUCCCUUGGGUAUGUGUUUGUAUGGUGCUUGGCUCAUUGUCAUUAUGAUCUCUGCUUGGAGUCUCUCAUUGCU
This is a long non-coding RNA of Alligator mississippiensis (American alligator), 738 nucleotides long. RefSeq lists it as uncharacterized. The record is from RefSeq and is a predicted model, not a curated record. Lineage: Eukaryota; Metazoa; Chordata; Crocodylia; Alligatoridae. The transcript has 4 exons.